RNAcentral lists this long non-coding RNA (694 nucleotides) under Gossypium barbadense (sea-island cotton). Its description in RNAcentral is "long non-coding RNA (GBAR_LNC023595)". The record is from RNAcentral. Lineage: Eukaryota; Viridiplantae; Streptophyta; Magnoliopsida; Malvales; Malvaceae.
GAAUGGCAAACAAGUUGAAGUGAAACCGGCCCUUCCUAAAGAUGCCAAUCCUGGUGGGGCUAGCCGGUCUAUGGGUGGUGGUGCCGGUGGUUUUGGAGGUUACCAGGGAUAUGGUUCUUCUGGUGGGAAUUCAAGUUCUUAUGAUGGUCGUAUGGACUCCAAUUACAUGCGUGCCCAGGGCACUGGAGCUGGCUUUCCACCUUAUGGUUCAUCAGGAUAUGCACCUGGUUAUGGUUAUGGUCCUGCUAGUAAUGGUGUUGGUUAUGGUAGUUAUGGCAAUUAUGGUGGUGCAGGUGCUGGUUAUGGUGCCCCUGCCGGUGCAGCUUAUGGGAAUCCCAAUGCUGGCUAUGCAAGUGGGCCUCCUGGUGCCCCUAGAAGUUCAUGGGGCACUCAAACUCCAUCUGGUUAUGGUGCUAUGGGUUAUGGGAAUGCUGCUCCUUGGGGUGCUGGUCCUGGUAGCGGUGGUCCAGGUUCUGCAGCUACUGGCCAAUCACCCACUGGAGCUACUGGGUACGGCGGUCAAGGUUAUGGAUAUGGGGGAUAUGGAGGUAAUGAUGGAUCUUAUGGGAACGCUGGUUAUGGGGCUGCUGGAGGUCGUUCUGGUGGUACUCCAAAUAGUAAUGCUAGUGCAGGUGGGGGAGAUAUGCAAGGGAGCGGUGGUGGUUACAUGGGAGGUGGAUAUGGUGAUGUAAAU